Molecule: ribosomal RNA, 440 nt
Filed under: uncultured bacterium
Lineage: Bacteria
Description: partial 16S ribosomal RNA
Rfam family: Bacterial small subunit ribosomal RNA
Source: RNAcentral
CCUACGGGUGGCAGCAGUGGGGAAUAUUGCACAAUGGGGGAAACCCUGAUGCAGCGACGCCGCGUGAGUGAAGAAGUAUUUCGGUAUGUAAAGCUCUAUCAGCAGGGAAGAAAAUGACGGUAACUGAAUAAGAAACCCCGGCCCACUACGUGCCAGCAGGCGCGGUAAUACGUUGGGGGCAAGCGUUAUCCGGGUUUACCGGGGGUAAAGGGAGUGGAGACGGCAGCACCAGUCUGGAGUGAAAUGCCGGGGCUUAACCCCGGAACUGCUUUGGAAACUGUGCAGCUAGAGUGCAGGAGAGGUAAGUGGAAUUCCUAGUGUAGCGGUGAAAUGCGUAGAUAUUAGGAGGAACACCAGUGGCGAAGGCGGCUUACUGGACUGUAACUGACGUUGAGGCUCGAAAGCGUGGGGAGCAAACAGGAUUAGAUACCCCAGUAGUC